Loxodonta africana (African savanna elephant) is the source of this 9623-nucleotide long non-coding RNA. RefSeq lists it as uncharacterized. The transcript is spliced from 2 exons. The record is from RefSeq and is a predicted model, not a curated record. Lineage: Eukaryota; Metazoa; Chordata; Mammalia; Proboscidea; Elephantidae.
GAAACUUCUUUGCUUUUGGUCCAGUCCAAUUGAGCUGACCUUCCAUGUAUUGAGUGUUGUCCUUCCCUUCACCUAAAACAGUUCUUAUCCACUAAUUAAUCAAUAAAAAAACCCUCUCCCUCCCCCCUCCCCCCCCCGUAACCACAACAGUAUGAUUUCUUCUCAGUUUAUACUAUUUCUCAAGGUCUUAUAAUAGUGGUCUUAUACAAUAUUUGUCCUUUUGCCUCUGACUAAUUUCACUCAGCAUAAUCCCUUCCAGGUUCCUCCAUGUUAUGAAAUGUUUCAGAGAUUCGUCACUGUUCUUUAUCGAUGCGUAGUAUUCCAUUGUGUGAAUAUACCACAAUUUAUUUACCCAUUCAUCCGUUGAUGGACACCUUGGUUGCUUCCAACUUUUUGCUAUUGUAAACAGAGCUGCAAUAAACAUGGGUGUGCAUAUAUCUGUUUGUAUGAAGGCUCUUGUAUCUCUAGGGUAUAUUCCUAGGAGUGGGAUUUCUGGGUUGUAUGGUAGUUCUAUUUCUAACUGUUUAAGAUAAUGCCAGAUAGAUUUCCAAAGUGGUUGUACCAUUUGACAUUCCCACCAGCAGUGUAUAAGAGUUCCAAUCUUUCCGCAGCCUCUCCAACAUUUAUUAUUUUGUGUUUUUUGGAUUAAUGCCAGCUUUGUUGGAGUGAGAUGGAAUCUCAUCAUAGUUUUAAUUUGCAUUUCUCUAAUGGCUGAUGAUCGAGAGCAUUUUCUCAUGUAUCUGUUAGCUGCCUGAAUAUCUUCUUUAGUGAAGUGUGUGUUCAUAUCCUUUGCCCACUUCUUGAUUGGGUUGUUUGUCUUUUUGUGGCUGAGUUUUGACAGAAUCAUGUAGAUUUUAGAGAUCAGGCUCUAGUCGGAGAUAUCAUAGCUGAAAAUUCUUUCCCAAUCUGUAGGUGGUCUUUUUACUCUUUUGGUGAAGUCUUUAGAUGAGCAUAGGUGUUUCAUUUUUAGGAGCUCCCAGUUAUCUGGUUUCUCUUCGUCAUUUUUGGUAAUGUUUUGUAUUCUGUUUAUGCCUUGUAUUAGGACUCCUAGGGUUGUCCCUAUUUUUUCUUCCAUGAUCUUUAUCGUUUUAGUCUUUAUGUUUAGGUCUUUGAUCCACGUGGAGUUAGUUUUUGUGCAUGAUGUGAGGUGUGGGUCCUGUUUCAUUUUUUUGCCAAUGGAUAUCCAGUUAUGCCAGCACCAUUUGUUAAAAAGACUAUCUUUUCCCCAAUUAACUGACACUGGGCCUUUGUCAAAUAUCAGCUGCUCAUAUGUGGAUGGAUUUAUAUCUGGGUUCUCAAUUCUGUUCCAUUGGUCUAUGUGCCUGUUGUUGUACCAGUACCAGGCUGUUUUGACUACUGUGGCUGUAUAAUAUGUUCUAAAAUCAGGUAGAGUGAGGCCUCCGACUUUUUUCUUCUUUUUCAGUAAUGCUUUGCUUAUCCGAGGCUUCUUUCCCUUCCAUAUGAAAUUGGUGAUUUGUUUCCCUAUCACCUUAAAAAAUGACAUUGGAAUUUGGAUCGGAAGUGCGUUAUAUGUAUGGAUGGCUUUUGGUAGAAUAGACAUUUUUACUAUGUUAAGUCUUCCUAUCCAUGAGCAAGGUAUGUUUUUCCACUUAAGUAUGUCCUUUUGAAUUUCUUGUAGUAGAGCUUUGUAGUUUUCUUUGUAUAGGUCUUUUACAUCGUUGGUAAGAUUUAUUCCUAAGUAUUUUAUCUUCUUGGGGGCUACUGUGAAUGGUAUUGAUUUGGUUAUUUCCUCUUUGGUGUUCUUUUUGUUGAUGUAGAGGAAUCCAAGUGAUUUUUGUAUGUUUAUCUUAUGACCUGAGACUCUGCCAAACUCUUCUAUUAGUUUCAGUAGUUUUCUGGAGGAUUCCUUAGGGUUUUCUGUGUAUAAGAUCAUGUCAUCUGCAAAUAGAGAUAAUUUUACUUCCUCCUUGCCCAUCCUGAUGCCCUUUAUUUCUUUGUCUACCCUAAUUGCCCUGGCUAGGACUUCUAGCACGAUGUUGAAUAAGAGCGGUGAUAAAGGGCAUCCUUGUCUGGUUCCCGUUCUCAAGGGAAAUGCUUUCAGGUUCUCUCCAUUUAGAGUGAUAUUGGCUGUUGGCUUUGCAUAGAUGCCCUUUAUUAUGUUGAGGAAUUUUCCUUCAAUUCCUAUUUUGGUGAGAGUUUUUAUCAUAAAUGGGUGUUGGACUUUGUCAAAUGCCUUUUCUGCAUCAGUUGAGAAGAUCAUGUGGUUUUUGUCUUUUGUUUUAUUUAUGUGAUGGAUUACAUUAAUGGUUUUUCUGAUAUUAAACCCAGCCUUGCAUACCUGGUAUAAAUCCCACUUGAUCGUGGUGAAUUAUUUUUUUGAUAUGUUGUUGAAUUCUAUUGGCUAGAAUUUUGUUGAGGAUUUUUGCAUCUAUGUUCAUGAGGGAUAUAAGUCUGUAAUUUUCCUUUUUUGUAAUGUCUUUACCUGGUUUUGGUAUCAGGGAGAUGGUGGCUUCAUAGAAUGAGUUGGGUAGUAUUCCGUCAUUUUCUAUGCUUUGCAAUACCUUCAGUAGUAGUGGUGUUAACUCUUCUCUGAAAGUUUGGUAGAACUCUGCAGUGAAGCCGUCCGGGCCAGGGCUUUUUUUUGUUAGGAGUUUUUUGAUUACCUUUUCAAUCUCUUUUUUUAUUAUGGGUCUAUUUAGUUGUUCUACUUCUGAAUGUGUUAGUUUAGGUAGGUAGUGUUUUUCCAGGAAUUCAUCCAUUUCUUCUAGGUUUAGAAAUUUGUUAGAGUACAAUUUUUCGUAAUAAUCUGAUAUGAUUCUUUUAAUUUCAGUUGGUUCUGUUGUGAUGUGGUCCUUCUCGUUUCUUAUUCAGGUUAUUUGUUUCCUUUCCUGUAUUUCUUUAGUCAGUCUAGCCAAUGGUUUAUCAAUUUUGUUAAUUUUUUCAAAGAACCAGCUUUUCGCUUUGUUAAUUCUUUCAAUUGUUUUUCUGUUCUCUAAUUCAUUUAGUUUAGCUCUAAUUUUUAUGAUUUGAUUUCUUCUGGUGCCUGAUGGAUUCUUUUGUUGCUCACUUUCUAUUUGUUCAAGUUGUAGGGACAGUUCUCUGCUUUUGGCUCUUUCUUCUUUUUGUAUGUGUGCAUUUAUCGAUAUAAAUUGGCCUCUGAGCACUGCUUUUGCUGUGUCCCAGAGGUUUUGAUAGGAAGUAUUUUCAUUCUCGUUGCAUUCUAUGAAUUUCCUUAUUCCCUUCUUGAUGUCUUCUAUAACCCAGUCUUUUUUCAGGAGGGUAUUUUCAGUUUCCAAGUAUUUGAUUUCUUUUCCCUAGUUUUUCUGUUAUUGAUUUCUACUUUUAUUGCCUUGUGGUCUGAGAAGAUGCUUUGUAAUAUUUCGAUGUUUUGGACUCUGCAAAGGUUUGUUUUAUGACCUAAUACGUGGUCUAAUCUAGAGAAUGUUCCAUGUGCGCUAGAAAAAAAAAGUAUACUUUGCAGCAGUUGGGUGGAGAGUUCUGUAUAAGUCAAUGAGGUCAAGUUGGUUGAUUGUUGUAAUUAGGUUUUCCGUGUCUCUAUUGAGCUUCUUACUGGAUGUCCUGUCCUUCUCCGAAAGUGGUGUGUUGAAGUCUCCUCCUAUAAAUGUGGAGGUGUCUAUCUCACUUUUCAAUUCUGUUAAAAUUUGAUUUAUGUAUCUUGCAGCCCUGUCAUUGGGUGCAUAAAUAUUUAAUAUGGUUAUGUCUUCCUGAUCAAUUGUCCCUUUUAUCAUUAUAUAGUGUCCUUCUUUAUCCUUUGUGGUGGAUUUAAGUCUAAAGUCUAUUUUGUCAGAAAUUAAUAUUGCUACUCCUUUUUUGCUUAUUGUUUGCUUGAUAUAUUUUUUUUCCAUCCUUUGAGUUUUAGUUUGUCUCUAAGUCUAAGGUAUGUCUCUUUUAGGCAGCAUAUAGACGGAUCGUGUUUCUUUAUCCAGUCCGAGACUCUCUGUCUCUUUAUUGGUGCAUUUAGUCCAUUUACAUUCAGCAUAAUUAUAGAUAAGUGUUUAGUGUUGUCAUUUUGAUGCCUUUUUAUGUGUGUUGUUGGCAAUUUCAUUUUUCCACUCACUUUUUUGUGCUGAGACGUUUUUCUUAGUAAAUUGUGAGAUCCUCAUUUUCGUAGUGUUUGACUUUAUGUUUGUUGAGUCGUUACAUUUUUCUUGGUUUUUAUCUUGAGUUAUGGAGUUCUUAUAUCUCUUUGUGGUUACCUUAUUAUUUACCCCUAUUUUUCUAAGUAAAAACCUAACUUGUAUUCUUCUAUAUCGCCUUGUAUCACUCUCCAUAUGGCAGUUCUAUGCCUCCUGUGUUUAGUCCCUCUUUUUGAUUAUUGUGAUAUUUUACAUAUUGACUUCAGUGAUUCCCUGUUAUGAGCAUUUUUUUUAAUUAAUCUUAAUUUGUUUUUGUGAUUUCCCUAUUUGAGUUGAUAUCAGGAUGUUCUGUUUUGUGACCUUGUGUUGUGCUGGUAUCUGAUAUUAUUGGUUUUCUGACCAAACAAUAUCCUUUAGUAUUUCUUGUAGCUUUGGUUUGGUUUUUGCAAAUUCUCUAAACUUGUGUUUAUCUGUGAAUAUCUUAAUUUCGCCUUCAUAUUUCAGAAAGAGUUUUGCUGGAUAUAUGAUCCUUGGCUGGCAGUUCUUCUCCUUCAGUGCUCUGUGUAUGUCGUCCCAUUCCCUUCUUGCCUGCAUGGUUUUUGCUGAGUAGUCUGAACUUAUUCUUAUUGAUUCUCCCUUGAAGGAAACCUUUCUUUUCUCCCUGGCUGCUUUUAAAAUUUUCUCUUUAUCUUUGGUUUUGGCAAGUUUGAUGAAAAUAUGUCUUGGUGUUUUUCUUUUUGGAUCAAUCUUAAAUGGGGUUCGAUGAGCAUCUUGGAUAGAUAUCCUUUCGUCUUUCAUGAUGUCAGGGAAGUUUUCUGUCAGGAGUUCUUCAACUAUUUUCUCUGUGUUUUCUGUCCUCCCUCCCUGUUCUGGGACUCCAAUCACACGCAAGUUAUCCUUCUUGAUAGAGUCCCACAUGAUUCUUAGGGUUCCUUCAUUUUUUUUAAUUCUUUUAUCUGAUUUUUUUUCAGCUAUGUUGGUGUUAAUUCCCUGGUCCUCCAGAUUUCCCACUCUGCAUUCUAAUUGCUCGAGUCUGCUCCUCUGACUUCCUAUUGCACUGUCUAAUUCUGUAAUUUUAUUGUUAAUCUUUUGGAUUUCUACAUGCUGGCUUUCUAUGGAUUCUUGCAACUUAUUAAUUUUUCCACUAUGUUCUUGAAUAAUCUUUUUGAGUUCUUCAACAAUUUUAUCAGUGUGUUCCUUGGCUUUUUCUGCAGUUUGCCUUAUUUCGUUUCUGAUGUCUUGAAGCAUUCUUUAAAUUAGUUUUUUAUAUUCUGUGUCUGAUAAUUCCAGCAUUGUAUCUUCAUUUGGGGAAGAUUUUGAUUCUGUUGUUUGGGGGGUUGUAGAAGCUGUCAUGGUCUGCUUCUUUAUGUGGUUUGAUAUGGACUGCUGUCUCCGAGCCAUCACUGGGAAACUAGUUUUUCCAGAAAAUCCGCUAAAAAAAAUGCAGUCAGAUCCCUAUCAAAACUGCCUUUGGAUUAUAACCGCCACCUUGUUCCCUGUGAGGAUGAAAGUCUGAGAUUUGGAUCAUAUAUGCUUGGCUGUAGCUGGUUCUGUGUAUUUAGUCCAAUUAGGGGUGGAUUUUUGGUCCCUGGGUUGUUUUUUGUUGUUGUUGUUCCUUCUCUCAGGCCAAAAGAGUGGAUUAGGAAAAGACCAAAAGAACAAAAACGGGGGGGGAAGCAAAGCUGCCGCGGAGCCGGAGCCGUUCUCCCUCUGGCUCAGGCAAUUCCAAUAUUAAUGAAGCCGCCUGGGGAGGGUGGGGGAGGAAUCAGCGAGAUAGGAGAGUAGCACCUGAGAAUAUAACCAGAGUUGCUUGUCUUGCUUGGAAUGACUAUUAUAUCUGAGAUUCCCGCAGGGCGUGUCGCCUGUGUGUGCUGGCUGUGUGGAGAUUUCCCCCAGGGGUCUGGCCCUCUGAAGCCACCCGCUGCCAGUCCAAAUCCUAGCGUCAAGUUUCCCCUGCUGGGACGCUUUACUCCCGGCUCCAAAAUCAGUCGCUGCCUCCCGGGGACUUCUCGUCCUGCCAGCCGCGUCGCCAUGCCGCCCUCACGAACCGGCUGGGCCCCCUCCCGGGGUUAGUUCAGGGGAGUGGAGCAGCUCCCUGUGCUUGUGCCAUGCCAGCGCCCAGUCAAAAUCCCGGCGGGACGAUUCCCUGGCUGGGACACUGCUCUCCCAGCUCCAAGACCAGUCACUGCCUCCCGGGGACUUCUCCUACCGGCUGUGUCGCCACGCCACCCGCGCAAACCAGCUGGGCCUCCUCCCGGGGUGAGUUCAGGGGGGUAAGGCUGGGCCCCUUGUUUGUGCUGUCAGCUCCCCUGGGCUCUGCCCUAAUUUGGGCGCCAAAGGUUACCUGACUGGGACGCUGGCUCAAGGCUCCAAAAACAGUCGCUGCUUCCCUGUAUUUGUUCGUUUUCCGUCUCUAAAUCUCUGUUUGUUGUUCAGGGUUCGUAGAUUGUUAUGUACAUGAUCGAUUCACUUGUUUUUCCGAGUCUUUGUUGCAAGAGGGAUCCGAGGUAGCGUCUACCUAGUCCGCCAUCUUGGCCCUGCCUCCUGGUUGGUUUUUUAUAAAUUCCCUUAAUUUCUGUUUAUCUGGAAAUGUCCUAAUGUUGCCAUCAUAUUUGAGCAAAAGUUUUUCAAGAUAUAUUUUCCUUGUCCCUUUUUUUCUUUCAAAGUUUUAUAUAUGUCAUCCCAUUGCCUUCUUGCCUGCAUGGCUUCUGCAAGUAAUCAGAGCUUUUUCUUAUUGUUUCUCCUCUAUAUGUGACUUUUUGCUUUUCUUGAGCUACUCUCAGGAGUAUUUCUCUUUGGUUUUAGUGAGUGCAAUUAUGAUAUGUCUUGGUGAUUUUCUUUUGAGGUCUAUCUUAUUUGGUGUUUGUUGAACUUCUUGGGUUGUAAGCUUUUCAUCUUUCAUGAUAUUAGGUAAGCUUUUUUCUCAGCAAAUCUUCAAUGAUCCUCUCUGUGUUUCCUAUUUUCUUCCCCUUUCUGGAACUCUAAUCACAUGCAAAUUUUUGCUUUUAAUUGUAUGCCACUUCCUUCUCAGAAUUUCUUCAUUUUUCUUCAUUGUUUUCUCUGAUUUUUCCUCAAAGUGGUAGCCAAUAUUUUGUCUUCAGUUUCACUGAUCCUGUCUUCUACUGCUUCAAAUUUGUUCCUAAAACCUUCUAUUGCCCUGUCCAUUUCUGAAAUCUUGUUGUUUAUCAUUUGGUUUUCUAAUUGCCGCUUUUGUAUGAUUUCUAGUUGUGUAUUUUGAAAUUUUGUUACUCUAUUAUUUUUCUGAAUUCUUGCAUUGUUUUGUCUGUGUUUUCCCUGACUUUGUCUGUAUUUUCCAUGGAUUUGUCUAUUUUCCCUUAUUUUUGUCUGAAUUUUCCUUCAUCUCUUUCCUAAACUCUUGGAGAGCCCUGAAUAUUACUAGACUUUUGAAUUCCCUAUCAGGUAGUUCCAGUGCCUUUUCCUCUACUGGAGAAUCCUCUGGGGUUUUAUUUUAGUCACUUUCUUGAGCCAUCCUGUCCUGUUUUUGUUUUUGUUUUAAUGGUGUGAUAUUGUCUGCUGUCUCUGGGUCAUUUAGGAAUUAUUUCCUUCAUUUAUCAAUUGUAUAUUUGCUUCUAAGGGAUAGAGAGAGAAGAAACAAGAAAAAAUGAAACAAAACAAAAAUAUGAUGCCGGAGGAGCUGACCAAUGGGAGCAGCACAGACCUGGAGAGGCCAUGGGCCAGUGGCUCUCUAGUCGAUCAUUGAAACACCACCUGUCGAGAAUGGGAGGAUGGCAUGUUCCUUCUAUCUAUAACAUCAUGUUGACCCAGCCUCUCUCCUGAUCUUCUAAAGUGGAAACAAAGGAAUAAAUAAAUUUUAAUGUCCUGCAGGGAACAAUUAUAAAAUAUAUGAAGAGACAAGAAAGGACAGCACAAACAAAUGAAGAAAGAAAGGAGUCAGAAAUAAUCCCUGAGGAAGAACAAAUAUUUGAUUUUUCUGACAAUGAUUUCAAAGCAUUAGUACUAAAAAUGCUCAAAGAGAUCAAGGAAAACAUAGAUAAAGAUCUAAAGGAAAUCAGGAAAACAGUACAAGAACAAAACAAAAAUUUCAAGAAAGAUGGAAAACUUAAAAAAAACAAUUAGAAAUGCUGGAGCUUAAAAGUAAAGUAAAGGAAAUUAACAAUACCAUGGAAGGUAAAGAAGUAGAAUUGAAAUGACAGAAGAGAGGACAAGUGAACUUGAAGAUAGGGUCCUUGAGAUUGCUCAGUCUGAGAAGCAAACAGAAAAAAGAAUAACUUAUACAUGAUGGGAAUUCCAGAGCAAGAAAUGAGAGAGGAAGGCUCAGAAGGAAUCUUUGAACAAAUAAUCUCAGAAAAUUGCCCAAAUCUCAUGAAAGAUGGGAAUUUUCCCUUCCAUAAAGUACAAUGAACUCCGUACAGGAUGAAUCCUAAAAGAAAUUCACCAUGGCACAUCAUAAUCAAACUCUUGAGAACCCAGGACAAAGAGAAAAUUUUAAGAGCAGCAUGAGAAAAGCUAAGUAUCACAUAAGUGGGGACCCCAAUAAGAUUAAGUUCUGACCUCACUUCAGAAACCAUGCAAGCAAGAACACAAUGGGACAACAUAUUUAAAUUGCUGAAUGAAAAGAACUGUCAGCCAAAAGUAAUAUAGCAACAAAAUUAUUAUUCAAAAACGAGGAUGAAAUUAAAGUAUUCCCAAAUAAAUAAAAAUUAAGAGAAUUUGAUAACACUAAGCUGACUCUACAAGAAAUACUGAAGGGAGUCCUCCAGAAAGAAAAGUAAUGACACUUAAAAGCCACCUGGAUAUAAAUAACAAUAAAAUAAAUGUAAACUUAGAUUACAGGGAAACUGAGAUACAGGUAGUCCCUGAAUUAUGAAUAUCCAACUUAUGUACAACCAAUGGUUAGGAACCAACUCUUGUAAUUUUAUAUUAAAAAUUUGAGGUACGCACAAUGGUUCAUAAUAACAAAGGAGCACUACUUUGCAAUGUGCAUCAAAACAUUAUUAUUAUUAUUCCUGUAUUAUGUUAAAGAUGUUUUCAUGUAUUGGGAAAUAUUUUUUAAUGUUUUUUUAAGACAAGCAUUUCACUAACUGACGUUAGAUACAAACCAUACCUAACUGCUCCAACUUAUGUAUAAAUUAAACUUAAACACAGACUCAGGAGUGGAACUCAUUUGUAAUCUGGGAACUACCUGUACAAAGUUGCAAUUGAUGACAACACCAAAAUAAAAGGGGGAGAUGAUUGGCGUAAUUACAGAAUUUCAAUGUGUUGGGGAAGUUAAGGUGGUUUCAAUAUAUAACAGUUUGUUUUAAAUGUAGGAUGUUGAAGGUAAUCCUCAUGGUAGCCAAAAAGAAAGUAAAUAAAACUACUCACCAAAAUAAAGGGAAACAAAAAGACACAGCAAUCACAAGACAACAAUAAAAAAAAAAAGGAAAAGAAAAUCUGUAUUUUAGAAAUCAGCACUGAAGGUAAAGAGGAACAAAGGAACAAAGAAGCCAUUAAUCUCACACACAAAAAAAGCAUAAUAAGAUGGCUGAGGUAAAUCCUCCCCUAUCAAUAAAUACUAAACCAAAAAAAAAAAACCCAUUGCCA